AUCUUCUUCUUCAUCAUCUUCUUGUGUUAUUAUUCAUAUAUUUUCAAGCUUUUUUUAUAUUUGUGAAAAUGUCUUGCUGUGGAGGAAACUGUGGCUGCGGCUCUGCCUGCAAGUGCAGCAGCGACUGCAGCGGGUGUAAGAUGUACCCUGACAUGGUGGAGACUGCUAAAACCACGGCUCAGACCCUUGUUCAAGGAGUUGCGCCCCAGAAAAAGGAGAAUGGGGGAGCUAAGGAGGGAUGCCAUUGCGGGCCAAACUGCCAAUGCGACCCCUGCACCUGCAACUAACUCAGGAGCCAGGAGGGGCGCCAUAUAUAAGAGGGCGGAGAAUUAAAAGUGAAGAGGAUUCCGCAGUGUCUGUCUGCAUAUCCGUUCCCCUAGCCUAGCCUGGAAUAAGAGUGUAGUGUAGUAUGUAUGUUUGUUUGUUCUUUUGAGUUAUCUUGUGUGUUAGGUUGAUCGAAGGCUGAUCUCACAGUCUCUGCUUCUAUAUCUACUUAUCAAGUUAUCGCCGAUAGUGCGAUUAAAUAAAUAUUUAAUUUUUA
Long non-coding RNA from Ipomoea triloba (trilobed morning glory), 541 nucleotides. RefSeq lists it as uncharacterized. The record is from RefSeq and is a predicted model, not a curated record. The transcript has 3 exons. Lineage: Eukaryota; Viridiplantae; Streptophyta; Magnoliopsida; Solanales; Convolvulaceae.